RNAcentral lists this non-coding RNA (3046 nucleotides) under Pan troglodytes (chimpanzee). Lineage: Eukaryota; Metazoa; Chordata; Mammalia; Primates; Hominidae. The record is from RNAcentral.
ACUCCUCGGCGCACCGCCCCGCGACCGAGCUCCGCCCUCAUCUGCGCGGCCCCUCACCUUCCCGCCGGGCCUCCUCGAGGAACUGGCGGCCGUCAGUCAGGGCGCAGAUGGCCGCAGAAGCGCGCCGCAGACACCCGCCGCGCCAGCCACUUCCCCCUAGAGGAGAGGGGUCUCUCCCGCCACCUCAGCCUCUCUGGUGGUGGAAGAAGCCGCCGGUCCAGAUCCCUCCUGCUUGUGGGACCGCUGUUUCCCUGGCAACCAGAUGCGCGAUGCUUCCGGUCUCGCGAUAGCGGAAAGGGCUGUACCAUCCGGAAAUGGGACCGGGGCCGGCGGCUGUUGGAGCCGUGCGAGCUGGGACGGCCGGCGUGUGUCCUUCCGUCUUCGCUGCCGACGGUGGGGGUUGGGAGCGAUUUGUUCGUCUUUAGGUUGGAUUGGGAACGGGGACGUCUGGAUGCUUGUGUAUCUCUGUCCCUCAUAUUGCUGUGAUGCCUUACAUGUCAGUUAUCCUCUCCGAGCACAGUUUCCUCCUCCGUAAAAUGGGAACAAUAAUAAUUCCCUUCUUACAAGACUUGUGCAGCUCAAAAAGACCAUGUAUGUGAAGCUCUAGUAAAUUUGGGGUGCUAUGGAAAUUUUAAAAAUAUGAGUUUUGCACAGAUUCGGCUACAGUCCAAAAAGAGUUAUAAUUGCUUUUUGCACCUUCUUUCAUUUCGUAGUUUCUCUAAUUCUCAGUGCACGAAAAUUAUUUCCCUACGUCCACAAACUGAUUUUCCUCACCUCCAUUGCCAUCAUUUCUCCUGCUUUCCAGUCUGAACAGCACGUUACCGUUUACAGGGCAUUUUCACAUUCAUGGCCCCUUUGUCCUCAUUGUUUUAACUAGGUACGAUGUGGUUUUUUUCAGCGAAGCAAAUAGUCAUAGGCUGAGUUGCCGAAAGAACACAGCUGCAGUCUAGGCCAGUGCUGGGUAUAAAAACCUGGCUAUAAAUGCCAUCCCUAUGCUCCUGAAUCCUGCAUCUUAUCACCAGCCCAGACUUCCCUGAACUCCAGACUCCUUUACCUAACUGCCUAUUUGGCAUAUCCACUUAGAUGUGUAAGCAUCUCAAACUUAACACGGGAAAAAACAACUUCUCCAGAGUCCCCCACCCACUUUCUAUCCAUCUCAGCAAAUGGUAAUUUCAGCCUGCCAUGCCUAGACCAAAAACCUUGGAGUCAUCCUCAAUUCUUCUUUCUCUCUCACUCUACAAUCAAUUUGUCCUGUCAGCUCAGCAUUCAAAAUAUAUUCAGAAUCCAAACAUUCGUCACAACUUCAGUGCUUCCAUUCAGGUUCAUACUGACAUCAUCUCUAAAUGAUAAGGCUUUCUGUUGGCUCUCUGACCUCCAUUCCUACCUACUGCUUUCCCCUGGUAAACCUGGUUCCAGGCUCACUGUCCUCAUUGUUAGUGUUUCUGUGCAGGGGUUUCUUCCCAGCAUUUCUCAGGGAAUUUAUGUGGCUUUCCAAAUCUCAAAAGAAAAAAAGUUGCAAACUGAAGAAAAUGGGAGAAAGUAUCCUAAUUCUCCUAUGAGAAUUAAAACUUAGCAGCCAACCUAGAGAUGUUACUGAAGAAAUUCACCAAUGUCAAGUUGAAAACCAGCGCAGGAAAUGCUGAGUUCGAGGUUGAGGUGAACAUUUUCAGGAACCAGGACAGGAGCACUUGGGAGAAACAUGGCCACAGUCUCAUCAGUCAGUCUUGUUUGUAGUUGGUGCCAUGUAAGCCUGUGUUCCUGGCCCUGUGUGCUGCUGGCAGUGAGUCAUUCUUGCAAAUAAAAUAUAAAUAGGUUGAUACUCAUUGUAUACUUCAUACAAAUUCUAUGAGCAGUGUUCAAAAAAGUAACGGGUUUUGGAUUCAAAGUAAAUCCUUAAAUUGGCAGUUUCCAACCCAUGAUUCUGGGUAGUACAGUUAACCCUGCUAGGAGAUCUAUUAUUUGAAUACUACUCUAUAAUGUUCUCUGUGUUUUCCACUAUUUGAAUAUUUGCUAUAAACUCCAGUUCUUGUAAACACUUCUAAAUUUAAUAGUUCUCAUUUUUUAACAAAGGCUUCAGAUACUUGUAAUAAUGAGUAAAGAAGAUGAAGAAGGUAGGGAAUAUUUUAAGAAUAAGAUUUUGAGAACAGCUGGUAUUUCUGAUUUCCUGUUUCUGCAUCCCAAAGAUCAGUAUCUGUCAGGAAUUUGGAAACACUUGUUGUUCCUCCAAUCCAAAUAAUCACGCACACACACCAGCCUGAAAUAUAGUUUCCCAGCUAUCCACGUGGUUUGCUCCUCUCUUUCCUCAGGCAUCCGCUUCCUCAGGAGGGCCUUUCCCAACCACCCUAUGUAAAAUAAUUAUCCCCAUCUCCACACACCCCACCCUCUCUCUCCCCAACCCUGCUUUAUUUUUUUAUGAAGAAGAGAGAUGACAUUAUUUGGAUUUUGAUACUAAACAGCUAGGUUAUCUUAGGUAAAUACAUAAGCUUUUGUGGGCCACAGUUUCUUCAUUUGAAAAAUGAAGCUGGACUAGUUUUGCAGUGCUUAACUGCACAGAGCAUUAGAAUCACCUGGGGAGACUUCAUAAACUACACAACCAGGGGUGCACCUGAGAUCAAAUGAAUCUAGGGCUUCUCAACUUUAAUAUGCAGACACAUCACCGAGGAAUCUUGUUAAAAAUGCUGAUUCAAAAAAAAAAAAUACUGGUUCAGUAUCAGGUGAGACCCGAGAUUAACAGGCUCCUAGAUGAUGCCAAUGCUCCCCGUCCACCGACCGCUGUUUACCUAGCGGCAAGACGAGAUCAUUGCCAAGUGCCUGCACGGUUCUCAUACACCAUAAACGAAGGCCAUUCUUUCUGGUUUUUAAUUUGGUGAAUAAUAGUGUCCACUAAGAAAACAAUACCUUCCCAAUUUCUUGUGGGGGAAGGGGCUGAACUAAGAAAAAGCAGACCUAUGAUUACUGCUGUUUUCAUUUUUUUAACUGUUGCUUUUAAAAUGCAACAUAAGAUGCAUAUAAAGCAAGUGAAAAUAAAAUUCGGGUUCCACGUAAA